Molecule: ribosomal RNA, 1541 nt
Filed under: Escherichia coli
Lineage: Bacteria; Pseudomonadati; Pseudomonadota; Gammaproteobacteria; Enterobacterales; Enterobacteriaceae
Description: bacterial SSU rRNA
Rfam family: Bacterial small subunit ribosomal RNA
Source: RNAcentral
AAAUUGAAGAGUUUGAUCAUGGCUCAGAUUGAACGCUGGCGGCAGGCCUAACACAUGCAAGUCGAACGGUAACAGGAAACAGCUUGCUGUUUCGCUGACGAGUGGCGGACGGGUGAGUAAUGUCUGGGAAACUGCCUGAUGGAGGGGGAUAACUACUGGAAACGGUAGCUAAUACCGCAUAAUGUCGCAAGACCAAAGAGGGGGACCUUCGGGCCUCUUGCCAUCGGAUGUGCCCAGAUGGGAUUAGCUAGUAGGUGGGGUAAAGGCUCACCUAGGCGACGAUCCCUAGCUGGUCUGAGAGGAUGACCAGCCACACUGGAACUGAGACACGGUCCAGACUCCUACGGGAGGCAGCAGUGGGGAAUAUUGCACAAUGGGCGCAAGCCUGAUGCAGCCAUGCCGCGUGUAUGAAGAAGGCCUUCGGGUUGUAAAGUACUUUCAGCGGGGAGGAAGGGAGUAAAGUUAAUACCUUUGCUCAUUGACGUUACCCGCAGAAGAAGCACCGGCUAACUCCGUGCCAGCAGCCGCGGUAAUACGGAGGGUGCAAGCGUUAAUCGGAAUUACUGGGCGUAAAGCGCACGCAGGCGGUUUGUUAAGUCAGAUGUGAAAUCCCCGGGCUCAACCUGGGAACUGCAUCUGAUACUGGCAAGCUUGAGUCUCGUAGAGGGGGGUAGAAUUCCAGGUGUAGCGGUGAAAUGCGUAGAGAUCUGGAGGAAUACCGGUGGCGAAGGCGGCCCCCUGGACGAAGACUGACGCUCAGGUGCGAAAGCGUGGGGAGCAAACAGGAUUAGAUACCCUGGUAGUCCACGCCGUAAACGAUGUCGACUUGGAGGUUGUGCCCUUGAGGCGUGGCUUCCGGAGCUAACGCGUUAAGUCGACCGCCUGGGGAGUACGGCCGCAAGGUUAAAACUCAAAUGAAUUGACGGGGGCCCGCACAAGCGGUGGAGCAUGUGGUUUAAUUCGAUGCAACGCGAAGAACCUUACCUGGUCUUGACAUCCACAGAACUUUCCAGAGAUGGAUUGGUGCCUUCGGGAACUGUGAGACAGGUGCUGCAUGGCUGUCGUCAGCUCGUGUUGUGAAAUGUUGGGUUAAGUCCCGCAACGAGCGCAACCCUUAUCCUUUGUUGCCAGCGGUCCGGCCGGGAACUCAAAGGAGACUGCCAGUGAUAAACUGGAGGAAGGUGGGGAUGACGUCAAGUCAUCAUGGCCCUUACGACCAGGGCUACACACGUGCUACAAUGGCGCAUACAAAGAGAAGCGACCUCGCGAGAGCAAGCGGACCUCAUAAAGUGCGUCGUAGUCCGGAUUGGAGUCUGCAACUCGACUCCAUGAAGUCGGAAUCGCUAGUAAUCGUGGAUCAGAAUGCCACGGUGAAUACGUUCCCGGGCCUUGUACACACCGCCCGUCACACCAUGGGAGUGGGUUGCAAAAGAAGUAGGUAGCUUAACCUUCGGGAGGGCGCUUACCACUUUGUGAUUCAUGACUGGGGUGAAGUCGUAACAAGGUAACCGUAGGGGAACCUGCGGUUGGAUCACCUCCUU